This is a long non-coding RNA of Zonotrichia leucophrys gambelii, 1301 nucleotides long. RefSeq lists it as uncharacterized. The record is from RefSeq and is a predicted model, not a curated record. NCBI's taxonomy places the organism in Eukaryota, Metazoa, Chordata, Aves, Passeriformes, Passerellidae. The transcript has 2 exons.
AGGAACUACACUGCUGGGAAGAGUUGUAUGUGAGAAAGCCACCCAGAACGUAUGGACUUUGGAAAUAUAAUAACAACAGUAUGAUUGCAACACAAGCUCUUAAUGGUGAUGAGCAUAAGUGGGUAGAUUAGGUGUAGAUGUAUGUUUACCUUUAAGCUAUAACAAUUGGUUAGUCUGAGGAGGAAAAACCUGAUGUGAGGGAAGGAAGGGAAGAAGACAAUCGCAUCUAUAGGGGCUGUGGAUCACCAGCAUUGCUGGAAGACAAACCAUUUCAAUUUAAGGAUGGAAAACUUAGCAUAUCUUCAAGGUUGUUGUCUUCAGUCAUGUUUCAAAAUCCGUCACUACUUUUCCACAGGUAUAGCUCAACAGUAAACAACAUUAGCCUAGAAAAUUCCCCUCCUGUCUGGAUCACUGAAUCCUGAGUGUACUCACCCAGAAAUCCAGGAGCUGAACUGAAGGCUGGUGGGCAAAUACUUUCCUGAAGAAGCAACACACAGAAACAAGACAGUUCAGGAAGUCCUACACAGCUGGUAGCCAUCAAUUAAGAAGACAAAUCCAGAAAACAAGAGGUCAAAGUGAAGCAAGGAGAAAAUUCUGGGAUCAAGACCAUGUUCCUUGCUGCCUUCCCUCCAAGCCCAUUGGCUGAUUUAUACAAACUAUCUCCUUUCCAAAACCACAUGACAAAACUGAGAAGACAGAGCUGCGAAUCCUGCUGCCUAGGACACACAGCAGCUUUUGAAUGAAGGGGGAAGAGGGUGACUUCUUGAAAGGUGAGAAGAUUUACUUUUCACUGCUAUGAGUAAAGUGUUUCAUAUGUUGUCAGUUUUCAUCUCAUUUUGCACCUGUCAUAAAUACUGUCUUUUCUGAGUAUAAAAGAAAACAUAGUGAUCAUGGAGAAAGGGAUAGAAGCAUAAUGGAAACAGACCAUCAGAAACAAAUUUUAAAAACAAUGCGAACAUGAGAAAAAACCUAGGAAAAGGAAGAAAACGUGCAUUACAUUCCCUGCCUUUUAAAAAUAUACAGCUUCCAUUCUGAGAUCAACUCCUAGAAAAUUAUUGAUCCUAUAACAGCAAGAGUGUUUUUGUUCAGAAUGAUUUCAGAAAAUUUGUUGAAUGAGCUAGGGGUGUGAAAUUUAUGUAAGCUAUUUGGAACACCAGCUAUCUUUAUGCUUUUGUAAAAUAGCUAGCCCAAGAUGUUUGUAAAUGUCUAGCCAGAUAAAUGGAGUUAUUUGGUGUAAUCUAAAAUGCAAAUAACAGUAGCAAAAAUAAUAAUAAAUAUCUCUGUACUGAACAGGAAUUUAA